AAUUCGAUUGAGUUUGAUCAUGGCUCAGAACGAACGCUGGCGGCAGGCCUAACACAUGCAAGUCGAACGCCGUAGCAAUACGGAGUGGCAGACGGGUGAGUAAUGCGUGGGAACAUACCCCUCGGUUCGGAAUAACUCAGGGAAACUUGAGCUAAUACCGGAUACGUCCGAGGUUUUAAUCGACCUCGGAGAAAGAUUUAUCGCCGGAGGAUUGGCCCGCGUCUGAUUAGCUUGUUGGUGAGGUAAUGGCUCACCAAGGCGACGAUCAGUAGCUGGUCUGAGAGGAUGAUCAGCCACAUUGGGACUGAGACACGGCCCAAACUCCUACGGGAGGCAGCAGUGGGGAAUAUUGGACAAUGGGCGAAAGCCUGAUCCAGCCAUGCCGCGUGAGUGAUGAAGGCCUUAGGGUUGUAAAGCUCUUUUACCCGGGAAGAUAAUGACGGUACCGGGAGAAUAAGCCCCGGCUAACUUCGUGCCAGCAGCCGCGGUAAUACGAAGGGGGCUAGCGUUGUUCGGAAUUACUGGGCGUAAAGCGCACGUAGGCGGAUCUUUAAGUCAGGGGUGAAAUCCCGAGGCUCAACCUCGGAACUGCCUUUGAUACUGGGGAUAUAGAGUCCGGGAGAGGUGAGUGGAACUGCGAGUGUAGAGGUGAAAUUCGUAGAUAUUCGCAAGAAC
Molecule: ribosomal RNA, 675 nt
Filed under: uncultured bacterium
Lineage: Bacteria
Description: bacterial SSU rRNA
Rfam family: Bacterial small subunit ribosomal RNA
Source: RNAcentral